CGGAGCCGCCAGUCACGCCUGGAGUCCGCGCGCGCCUGCCCCGGAGGGACGCCUGAGGCGAAGCGCCAGAGCGUGGCGGGGACCCUGUGAGGAGGGUCCGCCGAGUCCGGAGGACAGGGGGGACCCGGGCGCGCCUCAAGCAGAGGUGGCGGCGAGUGCGGAGGCCCGGAGGAGGGAGGAGCUCACGCUCUUGCGGCUGGAGGUGGGCGAGAGAGGGGAGAUGGACGCCGCGAGGCCCGGCCCAGUGGCGGGUUCUCGGAGGAGAAGAGACGGUGAGGGACCGAGAGGACGCCGACGGGCCAGAGGGCAGUGGGCUCCUCGCCGAUGGGAGGGGCCUGGUGAGGCCGAGGCCCCAGGGCCUAACGAACCACGGGCGCCGGGAGCCUCCGCGGCCAGGCGAGGGAGAGGGCCAAGCGAGGGCGUCGAGAGGCGCCCCGGAGAGCCUCCGCUGCGCAGGGGGUCUCUGGAAUUCGGGGCACCCAGAAUAAGUUACAGGUAGAAGGCCUUGACAGUAGAGGGGAGAGGGAGAAAGAUGGAGGCAGAAUGGGUGACCAAGCUUGAAAGGGACAGCUGGGGUGGGUGGAGGUCGGGGGAGGGACGGCGGGGUGGGGGGCCAGAGCGCCCGCAGGCGUGUACGGCAGAAACCAGGGCCUGAGAGGAGAACAGAGAGCGUCCCACUGGAGAAACAGCGGACGUGGAGGGGAAGAAGGCCCAGAGGCGCUUCUCCGGAGCCCGCCACGGCGCCAGCGUCUCCUCAUGUGCCCCUCGGAAGCCUGUUGAGAAACGAGUGAAGACGACACAUCAGUAAGAUGAAUGGAUAUCAAAACACCAGCCUUGCCACAGAUAAAAGCUAGUAGGAGGAUGUGGCUUAGAUCUGCAAUCAAGAGAGCUGCUGAUCAACCCCUAAAUCAGACAAACAUACCUGGACAACUGCAGCCUCUGGGCUACAGAGCUGCCCCACCAGGCACCAGUCAGCCAAGUGCGGAUGAGAUGCCCAUCAACCUACAGACUCCACAAAGUUGGCCCAGAGGAGGCUGAGCACACUUGACCCUGUCUGUUCUCCCAAAUUCACCACUUCAUACUUCCCUGGGAGUAGAAAAGAGGCUGGAAGUUUCUUCCAGGAAAGUCCCUCCAUGUGGAAACAAAGAGUGGGAAUAAGGGUUCCACCCUACAUGGACAUCUCAAACUCUGAGUCUUACCAUGCUAAAGGAGGGAGGAAGUUUCAACUGGAGCAGAGUUUGAGUUUUGAUAUUUUAUUGGACUGGAUUUUUUAUGAGCAAAAUAAUAACCCUCUCCUUUUUAUCUAAGAAGGAAGGAAAAACCUGUAAAAUCCAACUGAGAAUUCAUACAUAAGAGUUUCUAAAGGCACUCAUGAGAAAAAAGAAUGCUUCUCUCUUCUUGCACCCUACCAGUUCCAGCUUGUUCAAUAAACUGGAUACAAAAGACUCCCAGGUUUUUGGCCUGGACCACUGAGCAUGUGAUGGUGACAUUUACGGAAAUAGGGAAGGUUUGGGGGAAAAUUUCAGCUUAGAUUGGGGACAUGUUAAGACAUUCAAGUGGAUGUGCUGAGUAGGCUGGUAUUCAGGAGAAAAGACAAGGCUAGAGAGAGAAAUUUGGUAGCCAUCUGUUUUCAGGUAAUGUUUGAAAACAAAGUUGGAUGAGAUCAACUAAGGAGUGAGUAUUCCAACAAGAAGAGUUUCCAGGAUGAGUCCUGGGGCACCAACUGUUUCUAGUCUAGAGGAGAAGGAGUGGCCAGAGAGAGGAGAAAAAGCCAGGGACUGUGGAAUCAGGGAAGCCAGGUGAAGACGUGGUGAUCUGUACAGAGGUUUUAGAAGGAUUGCAAAGUGAGGUCUGAGAAUUGAUGAUUAGAUGUGGCAAGACAAUUUAUUGGUGACUGACAAGAGCAAUCACAGGAAACAUGAGAAAAGCCCCGUGGCAGAGUUGGUUUUUUUUUUAAAGGGAAAUUUCCAGUUAAACAUGUCAGAUGGCACAGGCGUUGACUUCCAUUUCCCACCCAAACCCUACUCACAUAAAUUAAUAAAUGAGAUAAAAACUCACAGGGAAAGAAUGGGAGAGAAGGCACCAGUAAGGUCAGACCAGAAAGGUCAACAAGAUUAUAGAGCCUGGGAAUGUAAAGUAAUAACUGACUCAGCAAGCCAGAGAAAGCUGAAGUCUUUUUGUGGGGGUGAAAGCAUAAAGAGACCAUUCUUGCCAACAAAUCCCAGGAAGGUGUAGAAAUUGGAAGAACUGGUAGAAAGUUGAAUAAGGAGCAGUGUGAUGAUAGAUCCUUUGCCCCACUUUGGUGGAAGCCUGCAGCAGUUGAGUCAGUUGAAUUCAUGCACAAGGCAAUAGCUGAGGGCCACUGAAAGCACUGGACUUGAGUGAAAGUUUAUACUCCUGUAGGAGCCCAGUCCCACUUCUCCCAGUCAGCCAUAUAGCUUCAGGCAGUAGGAGGAUUUCUCUGAAGCAAGAGGCCCCCAAAAAAGACCUGCACACAUUGGCCAACUUGGACCCAGUGGAAAAGCAGAGAAGCUGGCAGGCUGUAUUCUUGACACACAGCUUCCAACAAGCUUCUCAGAGCCCCACUGUCAACAUAAGCCAAGCAUUUAAGGAAAACCUCUACCACAAAAGACAGCAAAACACACAGAAACAGGAAAUUUUGAGAAAUGGAGAUGAUAUAAGGUGUGGAAGAGGACUUUUGACAAAAACAUGUGCUCACAGAAAUAGGAUUUUGCACCCAUGAAACAAGAACCAUCUGACACACUCUUUCCCUCCCUGCCUUAUUUUUCUCCCUGUUUAUCACCAACUAGCAUACCAAAUAUUUUGCAUAUUUAUCUUGUUUACUGCCUGUCUAAAAUAUAAGCCAAGCAAAGGCUGAAAUUUAUUUGUUGCCGUAUCCUCAGCACCUGGAAUAAUACCUGGCAUAUAGUAAAUACUCCAAAAUGAUAUACUGAAUAAAUGGACGAAUGAACAGGAGUCUCUAAAUAGAAAACAUUACGAAAAAAGACUCAGAAAUGAAAAAUAUGGCAGACUUUAAAAGUCACUAGAAUAGGAAGAUAGAGAAAUUUUAGGAUAGUUGGAUAAAAAGGAUGUAAAAAAAAAUGAAG
Molecule: long non-coding RNA, 3107 nt
Organism: Equus asinus (donkey)
Lineage: Eukaryota; Metazoa; Chordata; Mammalia; Perissodactyla; Equidae
Source: Ensembl